GAGGUAAUGGCUCACCAAGGCGACGACGGGUAGCCGGCCUGAGAGGGUGACCGGCCACACUGGGACUGAGACACGGCCCAGACUCCUACGGGAGGCAGCUGUGGGGAAUAUUGCGCAAUGGGCGAAAGCCUGACGCAGCGACGCCGCGUGAGGGAUGAAGGCCUUCGGGUUGUAAACCUCUUUCAGCAGGGACGAAGCGCAAGUGACGGUACCUGCAGAAGAAGCACCGGCCAACUACGUGCCAGCAGCCGCGGUAAUACGUAGGGUGCAAGCGUUAUCCGGAAUUAUUGGGCGUAAAGAGCUCGUAGGCGGUUUGUCGCGUCUGCUGUGAAAACUGGAGGCUCAACCUCCAGCCUGCAGUGGGUACGGGCAGACUAGAGUGCGGUAGGGGAGAUUGGAAUUCCUGGUGUAGCGGUGGAA
This 420-nucleotide ribosomal RNA is filed under the name uncultured bacterium. RNAcentral describes it as "bacterial SSU rRNA". It matches the Rfam family "Bacterial small subunit ribosomal RNA", at positions 254 to 686 of the family's 1533-position model. The record is from RNAcentral.